UAUUAUUAUUCCAUAAUGUCAAUUGAUGUUUUAAAGGUAAUUAAGGUUUAAAGAAAAAAUGGCGUUUAGUUUAGGUUAUUGUAGUUGGUCUAUAUUGUGCAGGAUGGACAAUUUAAAAUCCAACUCACCGAAAAUCGCUUACUACACAACAAAGAUGAAAUCAAAAGUAGGUUCAGCCUCGUGUAAUAGACUCUCCCAAACUACUCCGUGAUUAGUUGCUAGGCCGUUGUUCACACCACUUACACAAAAGCUGUGCAGAUACGAACAUGGUGUAUUCACGAGAAGGGCGUGUGGUCCGUUCGCUUCGUGAUGCUUUGGGUGACAAGUUGAGUAGUUGACGUGGUUGAGGUACUUUUUGUGGUGUACGUGAAUGGUCACUACAAGGCACAUUGAGAGGGGUACUGGGAUACUGGGAACGAUCCGUCCUUCAAGUGCCUGAUCACUGCGGGUCUCAACUUUUCGUUGGCUUGAUCUAUGGACAUUUCGGUAGGACUCCUUGGACGAGGGAUCGGCCCGUCGCAAGUCCUCUACCUGUACACAGGACAGCACAACACAGAAAAACAUCAUGGCUUGAGUGGGAUUCGAACCCACGGUCCCAGCGACACAAGGCCCAUGCCUCAGACCGCGCGGCCACUGCGGACCCCUCAGAGGGGUAGGUACAUUAAAUAACAACUUCUCCAAAUACUAAAACAAUCACAUGAAGGAUUUUCAAAACAAUACUAUGGAUGCACAACUCUUGGACAUGGUUAUUGGAACAUAAUCAGCGAUAGAACAAAUGCAAAACACAUCACUUGCAAAAUCAAUGAACAUUCAAUACAAAUGAACUUUGUACACAGUGGGCAAUACUGUGUUAGAUGAGCUGUUAACCCCCUUACCACGUGAAAAUAUCUCAAGCAAAACAACACACCAUGCAUUAUGGAAAUUAAAAAACACAGUUUGUAUGACAUGAUCUUCACCACACCAAUAUCAGCAUAUAAUGAUUACAGCAACAAACCCUGAAGACUUUCAUUCCACAUAACAUACUUUCUCCAGUGGUUCUCGAGUCGAAUCAUCUGGACAGUCAUACCCCGCCCGUAAUGCAUUCUCAAUAGUCCAGUGGUUCACAAUGAUCACAGUGAUCAUCAGAAUUUAAAGAUCAUUCAUGAUGAUGUUCUACUGGGCUGUGACACCAUGAAGGUUGAUCCCAGUGUUUUGAGAAAACACUUUGUCUCCACUGGUUGCCUGUUGCAGGAGUUUGUGUUUAGGACUAGAACCACACGCAUGUUUCAAGAGAAAUCUGGCUAGCUGUAGCGUGUUAAACGCUGUUCCAGUGCAGAAAGACAUUUUUGAAAGGUGAGAGUGAAUAUGUAUAUGUGUGAUCAUUCAGUCAUGACAUCACCACAAGCGGGCAAUGCAGGAGGCAUUGAGGGGACUGACGGGUGGCCAGCACCCACAGUAGUUGAAUCCUAUGAUAAUAAUACUUAGACAAGGUUCAGCUUCAAAGGGUUAAUGUGGGAAGUGUAAUCAUUUCAUUCCAAGCUACAAAAAAAAAGCUAGUCUCAAAUUUUUAUGUAUACUCCGUACAGAAGCUGGCAGAACUUCUUGCGAUGUAAAUCGGCGGAAUAAUUCCACGAGUCAGAUGUGAAGACGAUCAAGCGCAUAGUGAAUGGUCGAGUAAGUCUUCCUUAAUGGACUUUAUGAAUAAUAAUAUGACAACUUUAAUUAUGUAAAUGGUCACUUCAAACUACAUUAAUAAACAUUUCAAACAAU
Zootermopsis nevadensis is the source of this 1749-nucleotide non-coding RNA. Lineage: Eukaryota; Metazoa; Arthropoda; Insecta; Blattodea; Termopsidae. The record is from RefSeq and is a predicted model, not a curated record.